UCUCUUUUCUCAUCUACUUCUAUUUCUUUCUCAUCCAAUCUGUUUCUUCUAUAGUUAGAUUAGAUGAGAAGAGAAAGAGACUAUUAGAGGAGAGAGUAUUUUCUGUUAUUGAUUCUGGGAAAUAGAAUGAAUGAAUUCAGAUAAGGAUUCUUCUUUUAUACAUGAAUAGUGCAGCUGUUACUAACCAAUUAUGUUAUUCUAAACUUCUUUCUUUCAACCUAACAACAUUUCCCUCCAAAACACUUCCUACUCAACUCUUCCAUCACUGAUUACUAUUUCUCUUCUUUAUCCUAUAGCAUGUAACAGGGGACCUACCCAAACUACUUCUU
This 329-nucleotide unclassified non-coding RNA is filed under the name Hevea brasiliensis (rubber tree). The record is from RNAcentral. Lineage: Eukaryota; Viridiplantae; Streptophyta; Magnoliopsida; Malpighiales; Euphorbiaceae.